RNAcentral lists this transfer-messenger RNA (403 nucleotides) under Rikenellaceae. RNAcentral's name for it is "Alistipes sp017936685 Standard tmRNA". It matches the Rfam family "transfer-messenger RNA". Rfam says of the family: Bacterial tmRNA, also known as 10Sa RNA or SsrA, is named for its dual tRNA and mRNA-like properties. The record is from RNAcentral. Lineage: Bacteria; Pseudomonadati; Bacteroidota; Bacteroidia; Bacteroidales. RNAcentral also lists the same sequence under 1 other name.
GGGGGCGACCGGUUUUGACAGCAGGUAGAAUUCGAUUGUAAGCAUGUCGAGCAUUGUGUGGGGUCUCGUAAAUCGCAACACUCAAACUACAAAUGGCAAUAACAGCUAUGCACUCGCUGCCUAAUUUUCAAGGGAAAUUGGCUUAAUCGCGCGGUUCAAGGCAAUCGUGCGACGAGUAUCCCGAAAGGCGAUUCCGCUCUUUAACCGUCUUUCAUACGGGGUAUCAUCUAUUAAGAGAUAGUGCGAUAUGUGUCUCGGUUAUCGUGCGAAAUCAAGAGGCUGGGACCCGGGUUUGGCUGCCGCCUGCCGUGCUCGGGUAGAAGGAUCAAACGGCCGGCUAAACAUGUAGAAAGCUCUUGGGUUCCUUGUUUGGACGAGGGUUCGACUCCCUCCGCCUCCACUC